UGGGGAAUAUUGCACAAUGGAGGGAACUCUGAUGCAGCGACGCCGCGUGAGUGAUGAAGGAAUUCGUUUCGUAAAACUCUGUUCUAUGGGAAGAAAAGGACUGUACCAUAGGAGAAAGCUCCGGCUAAAUACGUGCCAGCAGCCGCGGUAAUACGUAUGGAGCGAGCGUUGUCCGGAAUUAUCGGGCGUAAAGGGUGCGCAGGCGGCUUUACAAGUUGGAUGUGAAAUAUUGUGGCUCAACCACAAACGUGCAUCCAAAACUGCAAAGCUUGAGUUAAGGAGAGGUAAGUGGAAUUCCUGGUGUAGCGGUGGAAUGCGUAGAUAUCAGGAGGAAUACCGGUGGCGAAGGCGACUUACUGGACUUAAACUGACGCUCAGGCACGAAAGCGUGGGGAGCAAACAGG
This 404-nucleotide ribosomal RNA is filed under the name Fusobacteriota bacterium. RNAcentral describes it as "Fusobacteria bacterium partial 16S ribosomal RNA". It matches the Rfam family "Bacterial small subunit ribosomal RNA", at positions 355 to 776 of the family's 1533-position model. Lineage: Bacteria; Fusobacteriati; Fusobacteriota. The record is from RNAcentral.